This 1134-nucleotide long non-coding RNA is filed under the name Bos indicus x Bos taurus (hybrid cattle). RNAcentral describes it as "lncRNA (ENSBIXG00000009318.1)". Lineage: Eukaryota; Metazoa; Chordata; Mammalia; Artiodactyla; Bovidae. The record is from RNAcentral.
GGGGAGGGUGAGCCAAGAGGGACGUGGCGCUCUGCGGCGCGGACUAGGAAGCCGCGCCCCUUCCUUCUCGGGCUUUCAUGGAGAAUCCUGUGGAGCAGGAUUUGGAACUAAGACAUCUGCUCCACACCCAUCAUUUUAAAGAUGGGGGAACUGAUCCUCAAAGAUACUCGUGGCUCGAGGAUUAGAGAAACUUUUGGAGCCUCAAGGCUGGUUUCGACUGAGUCUGCUAAGUAAUGGCAUCUUUCUCUGAAGCUGUUUUCUUGCUUGUAAAAAUGGUGUUUAUCUCAGAGUUGUUAGUGACGCUUAGAUAAGAUUCCAGAAAACCAGUAUAGAACCUGCUGCAUAUGUUAGUAAUGUUAGCUGCUUUUUAUCGGGAAAUAAUACAGGAUAGUAGCUAAAUCACCUAUUUGGAGCCCAACUGCCCACGUGAAACCAAUUCCUUGACUCGCUUAAGCGCUGUGUGCCUCACUUUCCUUGUCUGUGAAAUGAGAAUAAUAAUAGUAUCCUCCUCUUUACAGCAUAAGUAAAUAGAAGAGUGACAGGCACAUAGUAAGUGUUCUAUAAAUGUUAGUACUUCUCAUGUUAGUGGCUGAGCCAGGGCUGCAAUUCAGCUCUCUAGAUUCCAAGACCGGCGAUCUCUACUCUUACACAACUCUCAUCUGUACAUGAAGAACAGUGCCUAGAAAUUCAGCUUUUUUUAAGGUUCAGGAGGAAGUGCUUGUGCCUUUUCUUCAAAUCUCAAACUAUCUCCCUUACUGUCAUGAAAGUCCUAGUAUGUUGUGACUGCCUCCACUGAAGGUUUAAUAGCAGAGGCAAAUGCAAGGAAAAUAAUCAUAGUUUUGAUGGAGAUAUUGAAGAAUGAAAGCACUAGAAUAAGAAAGGAUGUUCAAAAAGUUAUGGUGUAGGAACACUAAAUCUCUAUCUGAAAAAUAUAAAUACUAAUGUGAAGGUAUUGGUAAUAUUAAUAUGUCAUUAGUAACCAAUGUUAGUGUUAGAUUAGGAGACAAGCCACAUCCCGUCUCUGUGGAAAAUACUAAAUUGUAAAUACAUCAAAAGCAGGAAGUAUCUUCCACAUUUUUAUUACCCAUUAUCUACCACAGGGCCAAACACACUGUGCUUGAUCUAAGCCCUGAC